This 465-nucleotide ribosomal RNA is filed under the name Vreelandella stevensii. RNAcentral describes it as "partial 16S ribosomal RNA". It matches the Rfam family "Bacterial small subunit ribosomal RNA", at positions 338 to 795 of the family's 1533-position model. The record is from RNAcentral. Lineage: Bacteria; Pseudomonadati; Pseudomonadota; Gammaproteobacteria; Oceanospirillales; Halomonadaceae.
CCUACGGGUGGCAGCAGUGGGGAAUAUUGGACAAUGGGGGGAACCCUGAUCCAGCCAUGCCGCGUGUGUGAAGGAGGCCCUCGGGUUGUAAAGCACUUUCAGUGAGGAAGAACGCCUGGUGGUUAAUACCCAUCAGGAAAGACAUCACUCACAGAAGAAGCACCGGCUAACUCCGUGCCAGCAGCCGCGGUAAUACGGAGGGUGCGAGCGUUAAUCGGAAUUACUGGGCGUAAAGCGCGCGUAGGUGGCUUGAUAAGCCGGUUGUGAAAGCCCCGGGCUCAACCUGGGAACGGCAUCCGGAACUGUCAAGCUAGAGUGCAGGAGAGGAAGGUAGAAUUCCCGGUGUAGCGGUGAAAUGCGUAGAGAUCGGGAGGAAUACCAGUGGCGAAGGCGGCCUUCUGGACUGACACUGACACUGAGGUGCGAAAGCGUGGGUAGCAAACAGGAUUAGAUACCCUAGUAGUC